AUGGCGGGCGGCGGCGGUCGUGGUCGCGGGGAGGAGGAGUACGACUACCUGUUCAAGGUGGUGCUGAUCGGCGACUCCGGGGUGGGGAAAUCCAACCUGCUCUCCCGCUUCACCCGCAACGAGUUCUGCCUCGAGUCCAAGUCCACCAUCGGCGUCGAGUUCGCCACCCGCACCCUCCACGUGGAGGGCAAGAUAAUCAAGGCGCAGAUCUGGGACACGGCGGGGCAGGAGCGGUACCGGGCCAUCACGAGCGCCUACUACCGGGGCGCGCUCGGGGCGGUGCUCGUCUACGACGUCACCAAGCCCACCACCUUCGAGAACAUCGCCCGGUGGCUCAAGGAGCUGCGCGACCACGCCGACGCAAACAUCCGGAUCAUGCUCGUCGGCAACAAGACCGACCUCAAGGACCUCCGGGCCGUCCCCACCGAUGACGCGGGGGGAUACGCCGAGGCCGAGGGGCUGUCCUACAUCGAGACUUCCGCGCUCGAGGCCAUGAACGUCGAGGAGGCCUUCCAGCUCAUCCUCGGCGACAUCUACCGCACCGUUAGCAAGAAGGCCGUGGCCUCCGAGGAGGACAGGGCAGGGGCUGCUGGGGUCAAGGAAGGUAAGACCAUCAAUGUCGCUGCCACCGCCGACAAUGGCGGCGAAAAGAAGCAAUGCUGCUCAGCUUAG
This 672-nucleotide ribosomal RNA is filed under the name Triticum aestivum (bread wheat). Its description in RNAcentral is "partial small subunit ribosomal RNA". The record is from RNAcentral. Lineage: Eukaryota; Viridiplantae; Streptophyta; Magnoliopsida; Poales; Poaceae.